Molecule: ribosomal RNA, 294 nt
Filed under: Triticum aestivum (bread wheat)
Lineage: Eukaryota; Viridiplantae; Streptophyta; Magnoliopsida; Poales; Poaceae
Description: partial small subunit ribosomal RNA
Source: RNAcentral
CUCUCACAAGCACUGUGGACAGUGGCCUUGCUCACUCUGGCCAUCGAUAUUGGCACUGCGCUCUACAAGCCGGCCAGAGGCAUGCUGUUCGGCCACAACAAGCUCGCCUAUUACCUCACCCUCAUCGGCAUUUUCUUUUCUGGAAUAGCGGAGGCUCUGAUCGCCGUUUGGCUGUCCCACUCUCACGAGGUUGACAAACGUUGUUUCUUGAUCGGGAGGGUUGUCCUAUGUGCCUCCAUCGUGCCAUUUGUUGCCAUCAUCGGCAUAGGAGGUUUCUCUUUCAUGGAGGGCUAA